GACGAACGCUGGCGGCGUGCUUAACACAUGCAAGUCGAGCGGUAAGGCCCUUUCGGGGGUACACGAGCGGCGAACGGGUGAGUAACACGUGGGUGACCUGCCCUCAGCUCUGGGAUAAGCCUGGGAAACUGGGUCUAAUACUGGAUAUGACUCCACGGUGCAUGUCGUGGGGUGGAAAGCCUUGUGCGGCUGAGGAUGGGCCCGCGGCCUAUCAGCUUGUUGGUGGGGUGANGGCCUACCAAGGCGACGACGGGUAGCCGGCCUGAGAGGGCGACCGGCCACACUGGGACUGAGACACGGGCCCAGACUCCUACGGGAGGCAGCAGUGGGGAAUCUUGCGCAAUGGGCGAAAGCCUGACGCAGCGACGCCGCGUGAGGGAUGACGGCC
Molecule: ribosomal RNA, 388 nt
Filed under: uncultured bacterium
Lineage: Bacteria
Description: bacterial SSU rRNA
Rfam family: Bacterial small subunit ribosomal RNA
Source: RNAcentral